GUCCUAACAGAAAGGGAAUAUUCUUAGUAAUGGCAGACAAGGAUCAAGGACUAUUCCCCUGAUAUCCAGCUCAGCAAUUCCAGCUCAUCAUGGCUCCUCUCAACGGGUGUUAACGGCUAGUGAAGUCCUUCAGGCAACAAACACUUGAACCCCCAGAAGACUAGGUUAAUAGGAUAUUAGAUAGCAAAAUUAAGUUACUUAACAGGAUUGAUUCAGAUUUAUGAGGAAUAUGUCCAACAAAGACAGGACCUAUAGGUUGCUCACAAAUCUAUACAAGAAUUUAUCUGAAGUCACUGUAUUCACAAGUUGUUGACUGAGAAUACGGCCAUAUACGAAUAGCAUUGCUGUGAAGAAAUAAUGCCUGGACAUUGCAUUUAGAAUCAUAUCUUUGUGAAACACUAUGUAUUAAACACUUCUCAUAUGCACAUGAUCAUUUAGAAAUUACAGUAGCAUGAAUACUUACCAGUUCAAAAACUUAAACUUAGGGAGACGUUUAUCUUGAGUUGCUCUUCUAAGUAGAUUGAAGAGCUCACUGGCCAUAAAUAUUUGGAUAACCACAACCAUGGCCCAGAUGUAAAGAUGACCCAAGUAUAUGAUUAGUGAAACACUUGCUAGCAUCCACAGAGAUGAGUAUGCACGGAUCCACAUUGAUUUGUAUUUGGAUUUAUCAUUGACAAGUAAAUUGUUUCCAUUUGAUUUGCUUAUCU
Glycine soja is the source of this 707-nucleotide long non-coding RNA. RefSeq lists it as uncharacterized. NCBI's taxonomy places the organism in Eukaryota, Viridiplantae, Streptophyta, Magnoliopsida, Fabales, Fabaceae. The transcript has 3 exons. The record is from RefSeq and is a predicted model, not a curated record.